GAAAAUCUCUGGUAUUGGACAAAUGGCUCUCAUUGGAUGUAACAGAUGUAGUGUGGUUCAUGAUUAUCUACUUUUUAUUUACUUUCACUGAGAGGUUCUUGUUAAUAAUUGUAUACAUUGGUGAAAAUCAUGCAAACAACUACAAUGUAAACCAUGUUCUAAACAGCAUGGCAAUAUAUUUGCUUCUUUUAAAGUUGACCUUAUGGGCACUGUGACAAUGUAAGCAGCUUCUGUCUGAACAGUUUAUGAUGGUAUAAACUAAGUUUAACAAUAUGAUGUAAAAUACAUUUUAGAAAGUAUUAUGAAGAUAUCCACAUUCCACAGUAUGAAGUGAACCACGUUUUAGACAGCACGAUGACAUAAAAGUUUUGUAGGGAAUUAAAAGUAAUCACGUCAUUUGUUUUAGUCACAUACUGAAGAUGAGCCACAUCCUGAUGAUGAAGCAGAAGAAUUGCAGAAAUUUAUGGAAAAUGUUCAGAUGGAAAGUAGAAAAAGAAAAUCAAGGACAGGAAGAAGCCCUCUUCUGGUGACAGAUCAACAUGUAUACACAUAUGGUGAAAUUCGACGACAACUUUCAUUUGGGGACAGUCCUCUACCUGAGUCAGCAUUAGACUUAGCAUUGCCAAGUGACAGUGAUAAUAAUUUUGAUCAUCAUAGCUCUGAAGAAGAGCUAGAAGUAAUUAACUGUGCUGAAAAUGUCAUCACUUGGAAUAGCACAUACCCUGAAAAAAAGAAAAUGGUCACAAGCAAAUUGUUUAAGUAGUGGAGAUAUCUCUGCAUUCUCGGAUGAUGAGGUGCAUGAUGUGUUGUGUGUAUCAACUCCUGUGGAGUUUUGUGCUUCCCCUCCUACUAAUGUGCACAAACCUAGUAGAUCUCUCUCAUCCCCACCAAAAGUCUUUAACUUAGCCUUUGCCAACAUUCCCUCUUUUGAAGUCUGUUCUGUUUCCCCUCGUAAAAGACACAGACAGAUGUAUGGUAAUGGUGGAAGUGGGGAUGGAAGUAUCCAACGGCCAUGCUUGGAUUUUGAAAAAAUGCAGCAGAUUAGAGUGUGACGUGCGACUUUUCCCGGUAAAUUUGCCACUUGAUGUUCAUGGACUGGGAGAGUGCAUCAGUAUACUUGGUGGACCUGUUUUCCAGUAUGUUCUGUUCACUUUGUAUAUGAUAAACUUAUUAAACUGACAUAACAUAUUUGCUAGUUUACAUGCUAUAAUGUUAAAGUAAGGACAAAUUAGAAAACGGUGACGUUACUAGACUUAUGAUGACGAUGUACAACGGAAGUGGCCGCGUUUAUCGUCAAGUGUGAUGAUGUCAUUAAUCAACAACAAUGGUGUCAGAUGAACUUUCAACGGCCGCUCACAUGCACAAAUAUAUAAUCCCGAUUCUUUAUUAUAUUUUUGAGUGUGUUUUCUAUUUUUUAAAUUCUAAGUAAGCAUCGAUGAUCUCAUGCUGAUACACAUCUGUUCAUGAAAUAAUGUAAAAAAAUAAUGGCUGGAGACGGCUUGAAUGGGUAAUGAAGAAAAACUU
This is a long non-coding RNA of Limulus polyphemus (Atlantic horseshoe crab), 1524 nucleotides long. RefSeq lists it as uncharacterized. The record is from RefSeq and is a predicted model, not a curated record. NCBI's taxonomy places the organism in Eukaryota, Metazoa, Arthropoda, Merostomata, Xiphosura, Limulidae. The transcript is spliced from 3 exons.